RNAcentral lists this long non-coding RNA (822 nucleotides) under Citrus sinensis (sweet orange). Its description in RNAcentral is "long non-coding RNA (CSIN_LNC003452)". The record is from RNAcentral. Lineage: Eukaryota; Viridiplantae; Streptophyta; Magnoliopsida; Sapindales; Rutaceae.
CGGUUUGAGAUUGACAAACUCGAUCGGGUUGUGAUCGGUUCGGGUCAAACCUGACCCGAUCCGAAUACCCGAUCGGGUUCUCAAAAAAAAAAAAAAAACCUAAGCUAAAAGCCUAACACUACACACAGCACACACCACACGCACACAACCACACACACAGUCACAUACGCUGCUCGGCUGCUGCACAACACACACAGCCAUUCACUCAAAGGUGUUGCCUUGCAAGUGACCAAUCAUCCUCAUUAAAUUUCAAAAUAUUCUCAUUAGAAAAAGCGCCAGUUGAAUUGUAUACAAAGAUGCAGAUGCUGAGAUGACUAUUGUUGCCAAUCCCAUAUGGCGGGCUGAGUUGAAACUUGAAAGCAACUCUAAGAAAGCAAUUGUAGAGAUAAAGACGAACAAAACCCUUUUUGCCAAAAGGAAUAUCAUUUUAUUUAUGGGGAAAAUUACAAUUUUGCUAUGACAGUAUAAUUAAAAAAAAAAAAAAAACCCCAACUCUUACAACUUUACAAAUCCUCACCACCCAGAACAUUUUUUUUUUCCACAACUAAGUUUCACUCAGGCAUUCAAUGGAAGCUUAAUUGUUUAUGUUAUAAAGGUGGCCAAGGAAAAAGAACUACAAAAAAGUGAAUUGCCUGCCCGACUUUUUAGUGGCUGCCUCUGUACCUUUUUCAUCUUUAAUCAGUGGGUUUCUGUCACACACACACAACUUGUCACAAGCUGCACAACCACACAUACACACGCUGCACACACCACACACCACACACACGCACACAGCCACACACACAGUCACCGACCCGAAUUGACCCGAUUUCAACCGACCCG